CAGCAGCCGCGGGAACACGAAGGGGGCUAGCGUUGUUCGGAAUCACUGGGCGUAAAGCGCACGUAGGUGGACAUUUAAGUCAGGGGUGAAAGCCUGGAGCUCAACUCCAGAACUGCCCUUGAUACUGGGUGUCUCGAGUCCGGAAGAGGUAAGUGGAACUGCGAGUGUAGAGGUGAAAUUCGUAGAUAUUCGCAAGAACACCAGUGGCGAAGGCGGCUUACUGGUCCGGUACUGACGCUGAGGUGCGAAAGCGUGGGGAGCAAACAGGAUUAGAUACCCGCGUAGUCCCUGUCUCUUAUAC
Molecule: ribosomal RNA, 301 nt
Filed under: uncultured bacterium
Lineage: Bacteria
Description: partial 16S ribosomal RNA
Rfam family: Bacterial small subunit ribosomal RNA
Source: RNAcentral